RNAcentral lists this ribosomal RNA (253 nucleotides) under uncultured bacterium. RNAcentral's name for it is "partial 16S ribosomal RNA". It matches the Rfam family "Bacterial small subunit ribosomal RNA", at positions 524 to 776 of the family's 1533-position model. The record is from RNAcentral.
UACGUAGGGGGCAAGCGUUGUCCGGAAUUAUUGGGCGUAAAGCGCGCGCAGGCGGCUUCUUAAGUCUGAUGUGAAAGCCCACGGCUCAACCGUGGAGGGUCAUUGGAAACUGGGAAGCUUGAGUGCAGAAGAGGAGAGUGGAAUUCCACGUGUAGCGGUGAAAUGCGUAGAUAUGUGGAGGAACACCAGUGGCGAAAGCGGCUCUCUGGGCCGAUACUGACGCUGAGGAGCGAAAGCGUGGGGAGCGAACAGG